This 74-nucleotide transfer RNA is filed under the name Rosistilla ulvae. RNAcentral's name for it is "Planctomycetes bacterium EC9 tRNA-Arg". It matches the Rfam family "tRNA". From Rfam's summary of the family: Transfer RNA (tRNA) molecules are approximately 80 nucleotides in length. Their secondary structure includes four short double-helical elements and three loops (D, anti-codon, and T loops). RNAcentral also lists the same sequence under 1 other name. The record is from RNAcentral. Lineage: Bacteria; Pseudomonadati; Planctomycetota; Planctomycetia; Pirellulales; Pirellulaceae.
GCCCUGGUAGCUCAGUUGGAUAGAGCAACGCUUUCCUAAAGCGUAGGUCGUGGGUUCGAGUCCCGCUCAGGGUA